This is a non-coding RNA of Streptomyces sp. IB2014 011-1, 201 nucleotides long. The record is from Rfam. Lineage: Bacteria; Bacillati; Actinomycetota; Actinomycetes; Kitasatosporales; Streptomycetaceae.
ACACAGGAAAGGAGGUGUUCCGGAAGUGAUUUCUCUUCGGACUCGUGAGGUGGCUGCGGGCUGACGCCCGUUGUCACGCACUUUUCGCAGUGCAUGGCCGGACGCCGGCCAAUACCCAGCAGUCACCGACCCGCAGGCUCGCCGGUAAGUCCGGCCGGCUCCUCUGUGCACGGAGGAACCAGAGCCUGCGGGUUUCUGCGU